RNAcentral lists this ribosomal RNA (483 nucleotides) under uncultured bacterium. RNAcentral's name for it is "partial 16S ribosomal RNA". It matches the Rfam family "Bacterial small subunit ribosomal RNA", at positions 28 to 507 of the family's 1533-position model. The record is from RNAcentral.
GACGAACGCUGGCGGCGUGCUUAACACAUGCAAGUCGAACGCUGAAGCUCAGCUUUUGUUGGGUGGAUGAGUGGCGAACGGGUGAGUAACACGUGAGUAACCUGCCCCCUUCUUUGGGAUAACGCCCGGAAACGGGUGCUAAUACUGGAUAUUCACUGGUCUUCGCAUGGGGGUUGGUGGAAAGGGUUUUUCUGGUGGGGGAUGGGCUCGCGGCCUAUCAGCUUGUUGGUGGGGUGAUGGCCUACCAAGGCUUUGACGGGUAGCCGGCCUGAGAGGGUGACCGGUCACAAUGGGACUGGGAUACGGCCCAGACUCCUACGGGAGGCAGCAGUGGGGAAUAUUGCACAAUGGGCGCAAGCCUGAUGCAGCGACGCCGCGUGAGGGAUGGAGGCCUUCGGGUUGUGAACCUCUUUCGCUCAUGGUCAAGCCGCAACAAUGGUUGUGGUGAGGGUAGUGGGUAAAGAAGCGCCGGCUAACUACGUG